RNAcentral lists this ribosomal RNA (253 nucleotides) under uncultured bacterium. RNAcentral describes it as "partial 16S ribosomal RNA". It matches the Rfam family "Bacterial small subunit ribosomal RNA", at positions 524 to 776 of the family's 1533-position model. The record is from RNAcentral.
UACGGAGGGUGCGAGCGUUGUCCGGAAUUACUGGGCGUAAAGGGUCUGUAGGUGGCUUGCUAAGUCGAACGUGAAAUCCCUGGGCUCAACCCAGGAACUGCGUCCGAUACUGGUUGGCUUGAAUCCGGGAGAGGGAUGUGGAAUUCCAGGUGUAGUGGUGAAAUGCGUAGAUAUCUGGAGGAACACCGGUGGCGAAGGCGACAUCCUGGACCGGUAUUGACGCUGAGGCGCGAAAGCCAGGGGAGCAAACGGG